GUGUUGUAUGAAAGGAGAGGAGGUUAGUAUGCCCCUUGGCAAGGAUGGAUGAGGCCCUCGGGCCUUACAACAUGAAUGCGGUUAAGGCCUUGCCACCUACUUUGCAGCAUCUAACCAUGAUUUUUA
Echinops telfairi (small Madagascar hedgehog) is the source of this 126-nucleotide small nuclear RNA. NCBI's taxonomy places the organism in Eukaryota, Metazoa, Chordata, Mammalia, Afrosoricida, Tenrecidae. The record is from Ensembl.